Molecule: ribosomal RNA, 508 nt
Filed under: uncultured bacterium
Lineage: Bacteria
Description: partial 16S ribosomal RNA
Rfam family: Bacterial small subunit ribosomal RNA
Source: RNAcentral
GAUGAACGCUAGCUACAGGCUUAACACAUGCAAGUCGAGGGGCAGCGGUAUCGAAAGCUUGCUUUCGGUAGCCGGCGACCGGCGCACGGGUGAGUAACGCGUAUCGAACCUGCCUCAUACUCGGGAAUAGCCUUGCGAAAGUAAGAUUAAUGCCCGGUGUUUUCAGAGUCCAGCAUGAGGCUUUGAACAAAGAUUUAUCGGUCUGAGAUGGCGAUGCGUCCCAUUAGCUUGUUGGCGGGGUAACGGCCCACCAAGGCAUCGAUGGGUAGGGGGUCUGAGAGGAAGGUCCCCCACAUUGGAACUGAGACACGGUCCAAACUCCUACGGGAGGCAGCAGUGAGGAAUAUUGGUCAAUGGGCGGAAGCCUGAACCAGCCAAGUAGCGUGCAGGAAGACGGCCCUCCGGGUUGUAAACUGCUUUUAGUUGGGAAUAAAACGGGGCUCGUGAGCCCCCUUGCAUGUACCAUCAGAAAAAGGACCGGCUAAUUCCGUGCCAGCCGCCGCGGUAA